Armigeres subalbatus is the source of this 797-nucleotide long non-coding RNA. RefSeq lists it as uncharacterized. Lineage: Eukaryota; Metazoa; Arthropoda; Insecta; Diptera; Culicidae. The record is from RefSeq and is a predicted model, not a curated record. The transcript is spliced from 3 exons.
CCCAGAAGCACUUUUUGUGAGGCGUUAGGCUCUGGUUAGAUAAUGUUAGGUAUGCUCUCUUCAAGAAGCAUAAAAAGAAUGCUAUGUUUUCUUUCGUUUUUUUUCGCGCUGUGGUAAAGAGCGGUGACAGGUCAGAACACAAAGAAAACACGUUUCGUAUCUGAAUGGCGACAGUAAUCAUGAAAAGUAGCGCAUCUGAAUUUGUGGAUUCUCCAGGAGUGGUCAACAAUAAUCGCUGUGCAUCAGAAGCCGGCGAUGGAUGGAGAACCACAUUUGAUUGAAAUGCGUUGCCGAAGAGAAGGAGCGCAACGACGAUGAACAGCGGCAGUGCACCGAAGCAGAAAAAAACUACGGCUGGCUGAGGAUGGGGAAUAAAACUGUCGCUGUGGAUCAAAAGCCGGCGAUGGAUGGAGGACCGCAUUUGAUUUCAAUGCGUUGCCGAAGAGCAGGAGCGGAAGCGACGAUGAUGAACAGCGGCAGUGCACCGAAGCGGAAAAACUACGGCUGGCUGAGGAAGGGGAAUAAAACCGCUGCGGACACAGAGUUCAAAUCCGGUCCGAUUACGCUGGUUGGAUUCAAGAAAACACGAUUCUGGCAACGGGCGGUCAGACUGACAAAAAAUACCGGAAGUUGGAUACAACCAAGAUACGAUGGAUAGUUUUGGUUCAGUCAGGAGUUUUGAUGUUGUAUACGGAGGAUCUCAGGUCGUUGGACAGAGGUCUUUCCACACGUCUCAAAAUGGGCACAAUUUCAGUUACAAUUGUGCAAAACAGUUGUUCGUAUUAUUUUGAAGUUAU